GAUGAACGCUGGCGGCGUGCCUAACACAUGCAAGUCGAACGCUCGCAAGAGAGUGGCGCACGGGUGAGUAACACGUAGCUAAUCUGCCCUCAAGACAAGGAUAACUGUAGGAAACUACUGCUAAUACUUGAUAAGCUUACGGACUGUAGAGGUCUAUAAGAAAGAUUUAUCGCUUGAGGAUGAGGCUGCGCGCCAUCAGCUAGUUGGUAAGGUAAUGGCUUACCAAGGCGACGACGGCUAGGGGACCUGAGAGGGUGACCCCCCACACUGGGACUGAGACACGGCCCAGACUCCUACGGGAGGCAGCAGUGAGGAAUAUUGCUCAAUGGGCGCAAGCCUGAAGCAGCGACGCCGCGUGGAUGAAGAAGGUUUUCGGACUGUAAAAUCCUUUUCUGUGUGACGAGAGUGGACGGUAGCACAGGAAUAAGUCUCGGCUAACUACGUGCCAGCAGCCGCGGU
Molecule: ribosomal RNA, 459 nt
Filed under: uncultured bacterium
Lineage: Bacteria
Description: bacterial SSU rRNA
Rfam family: Bacterial small subunit ribosomal RNA
Source: RNAcentral